RNAcentral lists this ribosomal RNA (1223 nucleotides) under metagenome. RNAcentral's name for it is "bacterial LSU rRNA". It matches the Rfam family "Bacterial large subunit ribosomal RNA", at positions 1707 to 2925 of the family's 2925-position model. The record is from RNAcentral.
AAGGAACUAGGCAAAUUAAGUCCGUAACUUAGGGAAAAGGACUGCCACUGGUUGUGAGGGCGACUAGCUUGUCUGAGCGAUUGGUGGUCGCAGCGAAAUGGCUCUGCCGACUGUUUAACAAAAACACAGGUCUCUGCGAAAGCGAAAGCUGACGUAUAGGGGCUGACGCCUGCCCAGUGCCGGAAGGUUAAGGGGAGAUGUGAUGAGCAUUGAACCGAAGCCCCGGUGAACGGCGGCCGUAACUAUAACGGUCCUAAGGUAGCGAAAUUCCUUGUCGGGUAAGUUCCGACCCGCACGAAAGGCGUAACGAGCAGAGCACUGUCUCAACAAGGGACCCGGCGAAGUUGAAAUAGCGGUGAAGAUGCCGUUUACCCGCAGCAGGACAAAAAGACCCCGUGGAGCUUUACUGUAGCUUGACGUUGAGUUAGGGCUUUGUCUUUAGGAUAGGUGGGAGGCUGUGAAGCUGGUCCGCUAGGAUCGGUGGAGUCGACGUUGAAAUACCACCCUGAUGGAGUCUUGGCUCUAACCUGUGGCCCUAAUCGGGCAUGGGGACAGUGUCUGGUAGGCAGUUUGACUGGGGCGGUCGCCUCCUAAAGAGUAACGGAGGCGCCCAAAGGUUCCCUCAGGCUGAAUGGAAACCAGCCGCAGAGUGUAAAGGCAUAAGGGAGCUUGACUGCGAGACAAACAAGUCGAGCAGAGACGAAAGUCGGGCUUAGUGAUCCUACGGUUCCGAGUGGAAGGGCCGUGGCUUAACGGACAAAAGCUACCCCGGGGAUAACAGGCUGAUCUCCUCCAAGAGUUCACAUCGACGAGGAGGUUUGGCACCUCGAUGUCGGCUCGUCGCAUCCUGGGGCUGAAGUAGGUCCCAAGGGUCCGGCUGUUCGCCGGUUAAAGCGGUACGCGAGCUGGGUUCAGACCGUCGUGAGACAGGUCGGUCUCUAUCCGCUGUGGGCGAAGGGGAUUUGAGAGGGGCUGCCCCUAGUACGAGAGGACCGGGGUGGACAGACCGCUGGUGUACCAGUUGUCUCGCCAGAGGCAUGGCUGGGUAGCUAAGUCUGGCAGCGAUAACCGCUGAAAGCAUCUAAGUGGGAAACGCGCCUCAAGAUGAGAUCCCCCACUGUAAAAGGGUAAGUGCACCGGGAGACUACCGGUUAGAUAGGCGGCAGGUGUACGCACUGUGAGGUGUUGAGCCGAGCCGUACUAAUGCACGAGGACUUAAUCCA